Molecule: ribosomal RNA, 229 nt
Filed under: uncultured bacterium
Lineage: Bacteria
Description: partial 16S ribosomal RNA
Rfam family: Bacterial small subunit ribosomal RNA
Source: RNAcentral
UGCGCAGGCGGCAUAGUAAGUCAGUGGUGAAAGCCCGGAGCUCAACUCCGGAACUGCCAUUGAUACUGCUAAGCUUGAGUUCGGUUGAAGUGGGCGGAAUGUGACAUGUAGCGGUGAAAUGCUUAGAUAUGUCACAGAACACCAAUUGCGAAGGCAGCUCACUAAACCGAUACUGACGCUGAGGCACGAAAGCGUGGGUAGCGAACAGGAUUAGAUACCCUGGUAGUCC